This 253-nucleotide ribosomal RNA is filed under the name uncultured bacterium. Its description in RNAcentral is "partial 16S ribosomal RNA". It matches the Rfam family "Bacterial small subunit ribosomal RNA", at positions 524 to 776 of the family's 1533-position model. The record is from RNAcentral.
UACGAAGGGUGCAAGCGUUGCUCGGAAUUAUUGGGCGUAAAGGGUUGGUAGGUGGUCUUGUUUGUCUAAGGUGAAAUCCCAUGGCUUAACUGUGGAAGUGCCCUAGAAACGGCAAGACUAGAGUCCUAGAGGGGUUUGUGGAAUUCCCGGUGUAGCGGUGAAAUGCGUAGAGAUCGGGAGGAACACCAGCGGCGAAGGCGGCAAACUGGAUAGGUACUGACACUCAACAACGAAAGCGUGGGGAUCAAACAGG